GGCGCCGGAAGAGACUGUCGCUCCGCCUUCGGGUGGAGAGGAAAGUCCGGACGUCACCAGGGAAGCGGGCCGCGGGCAACCGCGGGCUCGGGCGGCGCAAGCCGCCCGGGACGGAAAGUGUCACAGAGAAAAGACCGCCGCGUCGAAAGAUGCGGCAAGGGUGAAACGGCGGGGUAAGAGCCCACCGCUCGGCUCCGGCAACGGCCGAGGCACGACAAACCCCCCGCGGCGCAAGGCCAAACAGAGGUGCCGGUUCCCUGGCCGCCCGAGGCCGGGGGUGCAAGCCCCCGAGUCUUGGGGCACACCUCGGGUUGGGCCGCACCGCGACGGUUCGCCGUCGCGGACCGACCGCCGGCGGGCGAUCGGUAGAGAAAUGACAGUCACCGGGAAGCAAUGGCUUCCCGGAACAGAAUCCGGCUUAUCUUCCGGCGCCGGUU
This 437-nucleotide RNase P RNA is filed under the name Methylacidimicrobium sp. AP8. RNAcentral's name for it is "RNaseP_bact_a". It matches the Rfam family "Bacterial RNase P class A". Rfam says of the family: Ribonuclease P (RNase P) is a ubiquitous endoribonuclease, found in archaea, bacteria and eukarya as well as chloroplasts and mitochondria. Its best characterised activity is the generation of mature 5'-ends of tRNAs by cleaving the 5'-leader elements of precursor-tRNAs. The record is from RNAcentral. Lineage: Bacteria; Pseudomonadati; Verrucomicrobiota.